RNAcentral lists this long non-coding RNA (719 nucleotides) under Ananas comosus (pineapple). RNAcentral describes it as "long non-coding RNA (ACOM_LNC023667)". Lineage: Eukaryota; Viridiplantae; Streptophyta; Magnoliopsida; Poales; Bromeliaceae. The record is from RNAcentral.
UCACUUGAAUAACAAUAGAUAAAAACGUGCGAAACUUAUCCACAACACGACCCAUUUUUAUCUGACCAUCCAAUUUUUAAAAAUUUUAAAUCUACUUUUAGACAUUUCAUUUUUCUUUUAUUCAAACUAUUUAAUUAUUUCAUUUGGAAUAUCACGCAUGAUCCAUCUGAUAUGAAACUAUUCUUGAUAUGAAACUAUUUUAAAUCUGGGGGUGUCACAUUCCUUCCUCAUUUAAAGUCCUAACAUUCUCGUCGAGUUCAAGUACACUAACAAGCACCAGGCGAUAUGAGGCUUGUGUCGCAAGCCUUAACCGAUCUUACAGGGAGUCACGCUCCACCCACAAUAGUCAUCCAGAGUGUCGUGCUCUAUUCGCUGUAUAACUCUGGCUCAACCAAAACUCAUCUCAUACUUUCGACGCUAAAAUUAUUUUAUCUGUAGCACGUUUAACCCUCUUAACCUUUUUAACUUAACUAGCACUCAAAAUGUUAUAGCCAGAUUAAAAGAUUUAGCUCUAUUAUAUUCUUUAUACAGGACUAUUUCAAAUCCCGGAAGUGUCACAAUUUUAUUAUAAAAAAUCAAUAAAUGACUCAAAUCAAAGAAAUUAAGAAAACUAGACAGCAAAAUAAAAAAAUUUAAACAUAAAUAGUCAAAUUAAAAUAGUUUUUUUUACCUAUUAUUAUUAUUAUUAUUAUUAUUAUUAUUAAAACAACCAAAUAUAU